This 1302-nucleotide ribosomal RNA is filed under the name Isophya major. Its description in RNAcentral is "16S ribosomal RNA". The stretch from base 876 to 1232 matches the Rfam family "Bacterial large subunit ribosomal RNA", at positions 2077 to 2643 of the family's 2925-position model. The record is from RNAcentral. Lineage: Eukaryota; Metazoa; Arthropoda; Insecta; Orthoptera; Tettigoniidae.
GGGAAGUAAUUAUUUGGUUAUAUUUGAAAGAUUGAAUUAUUAAUUAAAAUAAUAUUAGUGGUUGAGUUUUAGUAUUGUUUAUAGAAUAAAUGGAAUGUGUAAUAGUGAAAUAGUACUGUGGAGGAAGUUUGAAAUAGGUGAAAAGUUUAUUGUGUUGAAAGAAGAAACAUGGUUUGUACCUUGGGUAUCAGGGUUUAUUAAAUAAUGGUAAUGAUUUAUGAUUCUCGAAUCGUGAAGAGCUAAAGUGGUAGACUAGUUAAUGUGAUAUUAUUAUUAGUAAUGUUGUUUUAGAGAUGAAAUGUUAAGCGUUUUUCGAGUUAUCUAGUUUUCUAAGAAAUGAAUUUAAUUCAUGUUAUUGGAAGUAAAGGGUGAUUUUUAUUGCUAGUUUAUUUUUCAUGGCAAAUAUAAGGGGGGAUAAGCUCUCUUAUAAAGGUUAUAAUUAUUAAAGUAGGUAAGAAGUAGUAAGCUUUAGAUUAGCUAUCUGGGAAUAAUGUUAUAAAUUGUUUUAGUUAUAAGUUAUUUUUUAAUAAUUUUAAGUUGUAUAUUAGAAUAUUAUAUUUAAUUAGUUGAUAUAAGUGAUAAUGGUAAAAUGAGUAUAUGUGGAAUUGUUUAUUUGAUUUUUAUGGUAAUUUAUAGUAAGGAACUAGGCAAAUUAUUACUCGCCUGUUUAUCAAAAACAUCUCUUUUUGUAUUGAUGGAAGGUUGGGCCUGCCCACUGAAUAUGUUUAAGGGCCGCGGUAUUAUGACCGUGCAAAGGUAGCAUAAUCAUUAGUCUUUUAAUUGAGGGCUGGAAUGAAUGGUUUGACGAGGUAAUAACUGUCUCAUUAUAAUAUAUAGAAGUUAACUUUUAAGUUAAAAGGCUUAAAUUUUGAUGGAGGACGAGAAGACCCUAUAGAGCUUGAUAUGUAGGUAUAGGCUUAUAUUUUGGGAGUUGAUUGAGGUUUAUGCUAAUUGUAUUGUAUUGGGGUGAUAUAAAGAUAAAAGUAACUCUUUAUUUAAGGGACAUUAAUGUAUGGUUUAUUGAUCCAUUUUUAGUGAUUAUAAGAUUAAGUUACCUUAGGGAUAACAGCGUAAUUUCUCUUAAGAGUUCAUAUCGACAGGGAAGGUUGCGACCUCGAUGUUGGAUUAAGAAAUAUAAUUAGAUGCAGCAGUUUAAUUAAUAGGUCUGUUCGACCUUUAAAUUCUUACAUGAUCUGAGUUCAGACCGGCGGGAGCCAGGUCGGUUUCUAUCCUUAUUUUUUGUUUAUAUUUUAGUACGAAAGGACCAAGUAUUUUAAAUAAUUUAUUUUAUUGAUUAUUAUU